AUUUCUUUUAACAUAUCAAGAAGUCUAGUUGACAAUGAAGAAAGAAGUAAGAAGUCAAAAGCCAUCAGUACCUAUAACCAAAACUCAUAAACUGAUAUCAUACUUCUUUCUUCACUGCCAAUUUGACUUCUUGGUAUGUUAAAAGAAAU
Molecule: non-coding RNA, 149 nt
Organism: Gossypium hirsutum (cotton)
Lineage: Eukaryota; Viridiplantae; Streptophyta; Magnoliopsida; Malvales; Malvaceae
Source: Rfam